RNAcentral lists this unclassified non-coding RNA (153 nucleotides) under uncultured fungus. RNAcentral describes it as "sequence contains ITS2". Lineage: Eukaryota; Fungi. The record is from RNAcentral.
AAACCUUCAAGCUCUGCUUGGUGUUGGGCGUUUUGUUCCGCCUCCGCGCGUGGACUCGCCUCAAAUUCAUUGGCAGCCGGUUAGUUGGCUUUCGUGCGCAGCACAUUGCGUAGCGGCUCCAGCUUACCUCCUACCAUUAAGCUACUCUACAUC